CAGCGUUUGACAUCCUCAUCGCGGAUUUCAGAGAUGAUUUCCUUCAGUUCGGCUGGAUGAGUGACAGGUGCUGCAUGGCUGUCGUCAGCUCGUGUCGUGAGAUGUUGGGUUAAGUCCCGCAACGAGCGCAACCCUCGUCUUUAGUUGCCAUCAUUUAGUUGGGCACUCUAAAGAAACCGCCGGUGAUAAGCCGGAGGAAGGUGGGGAUGACGUCAAGUCCUCAUGGCCCUUACGCGCUGGGCUACACACGUGCUACAAUGGCGGUGACAACGGGCUGCUACCUCGCGAGGGGAAGCUAAUCCCAAAAAGCCGUCUCAGUUCGGAUUGUUCUCUGCAACUCGAGAGCA
Molecule: ribosomal RNA, 347 nt
Filed under: uncultured maize rhizosphere bacterium c13_68
Lineage: Bacteria
Description: bacterial SSU rRNA
Rfam family: Bacterial small subunit ribosomal RNA
Source: RNAcentral